CCGCAAUGGGCGAAAGCCUGACGGAGCAACGCCGCGUGAGGGAUGAAGGCCUCUGGGCUGUAAACCUCUUUUCUCAAGGAAGAAGAACUGACGGUACUUGAGGAAUAAGCCACGGCUAAUUCCGUGCCAGCAGCCGCGGUAAUACGGGAGUGGCAAGCGUUAUCCGGAAUUAUUGGGCGUAAAGCGUCCGCAGGCGGCCUUGAAAGUCUGUCGUUAAAGCGUGGGGCUCAACUCCAUUUCAGCGAUGGAAACUACAAGGCUCGAGUGUGGUAGGGGCAGAGGGAAUUCCCGGUGUAGCGGUGAAAUGCGUAGAUAUCGGGAAGAACACCAGUGGCGAAGGCGCUCUGCUGGGCCAUAACUGACGCUCAUGGACGAAAGCUAGGGGAGCGAAUGGGAUUAGAUACCCCWGUAGUCCG
This 416-nucleotide ribosomal RNA is filed under the name uncultured cyanobacterium. RNAcentral describes it as "bacterial SSU rRNA". It matches the Rfam family "Bacterial small subunit ribosomal RNA", at positions 366 to 797 of the family's 1533-position model. Lineage: Bacteria; Bacillati; Cyanobacteriota. The record is from RNAcentral.